GUGGAUGUAGCUCAGUUGGUAGAGCGCCGGUUUGUGGUACCGGUGGUCGUGGGUUCAAGUCCCAUCAUUCACCCCA
This 76-nucleotide transfer RNA is filed under the name Acetobacteraceae bacterium. Its description in RNAcentral is "tRNA-His". It matches the Rfam family "tRNA". Rfam says of the family: Transfer RNA (tRNA) molecules are approximately 80 nucleotides in length. Their secondary structure includes four short double-helical elements and three loops (D, anti-codon, and T loops). Lineage: Bacteria; Pseudomonadati; Pseudomonadota; Alphaproteobacteria; Acetobacterales; Acetobacteraceae. The record is from RNAcentral.